GACGAACGCUGGCGGCGUGCUUAACACAUGCAAGUCGAACGAAGAGCGAUGGAAGCUUGCUUCUAUCAAUCUUAGUGGCGAACGGGUGAGUAACGCGUAAUCAACCUGCCCUUCAGAGGGUGACAACAGUUGGAAACGACUACUAAUACCGCAUACGAUCCAAUCUCGGCAUCGAGGAUGGAUGAAAGGUGGCCUCUAUUUAUAAGCUAUCACUGAAGGAGGGGAUUGCGUCCGAUUAGCUAGUUGGAGGGGUAACGGCCCACCAAGGCAAUGAUCAGUAGCCGGUCUGAGAGGAUGAACGGCCACAUUGGGACUGAGACACGGCCCAGACUCCUACGGGAGGCAGCAGUGGGGAAUCUUCCGCAAUGGACGAAAGUCUGACGGAGCAACGCCGCGUGAGCGAUGACGGCCUUCGGGUUGUAAAGCUCUGUUAAUCGGGACGAAAGGUCCUCUUGCGAAUAGUUAGAGGAAUUGACGGUACCGGAAUAGAAAGCCACGGCUAACUACCUGC
This 511-nucleotide ribosomal RNA is filed under the name uncultured Veillonella sp. RNAcentral's name for it is "bacterial SSU rRNA". It matches the Rfam family "Bacterial small subunit ribosomal RNA", at positions 28 to 508 of the family's 1533-position model. The record is from RNAcentral. Lineage: Bacteria; Bacillati; Bacillota; Negativicutes; Veillonellales; Veillonellaceae.